Molecule: long non-coding RNA, 981 nt
Organism: Seriola aureovittata
Lineage: Eukaryota; Metazoa; Chordata; Actinopteri; Carangiformes; Carangidae
Exons: 4
Source: RefSeq, a predicted model, not a curated record
UUACAAUAUGUUUCCCACAUUCACAUGUACUACGAUUUCAGACACCCCUACAGUGGACCAUACCAUUUCUUAACUUUGACGUUACUCAUACCCAGGUUUUAAUGUUAGCAGUACGUCUCCUAUGUCUGCCAUCAGGACCUUAAAACUCUACUCCCUUCUGUUGGGCAGACACGAUAAUUCAAAGUUUUUAAGAUGAAGAUUAAUCACACAACAGAAGAGGGAAAAGAAGACAACUUUUAAUAGAGGUCAUAAGCCAAAAAGGUUGUGAACCACUGCUUUGACACAACUGUUUCUGUGGAAAACAGCCCACAGUCUGAGCCAGGGAGACUCAUACUGGCUCGGCCUGAGGAGCAGUAGUGCUGACGGGGGGUGGAAAUGGAGCGAUGGCUCCCUGGUGGAAAAGGGACCACAGUUUUGGGAGUGUGAGCCCAAUAAAACAGCAGUGUGGUCAACUCACCCCAGCAGAUGACUACAAGAAGAGCUGGUGAGAGGAGACAAGCUGCUCUACAGUGAGAGGAGAGGAGUCCAAACUAAAUCAAAGGAAGCAAAGCAAAUGAUUCAUGUACUGAAGGGAUAUGUUAUUUUUACUACUGUAUGCUUUGUAUGAUUAAAAAAGCAAGUCAGCCUUAAACUGAUGAUUAUGAUUGUUUAUGAACAUUGUGACAUGUGAACAUUAAACAUUGUGACCCUGAUUGCCGUUUGAGAUUGCAGAAUGACGUACAGGGACAGACAAGACAGUAAAGAGAGUACAAGUAUGACAUGUUUAGAUAACAGGUUCAGGUCAGAGUGGUGUGAGGAGAGAAGAGCGGAGUGACCCUGUUACACAGAGAAUGUGUGUAUAAGAAUGAAUGUCUGAAACAAUAAAGUACUGCAUGCUGCUUAUACAGGCGAGAUGAGAGCAGGGUGGUCCAGAGCUCUGUAAGCAAUCUCAAACUUAUAUGCUUGACUAUACUUUUAAUAAAUUAGACGUGUUGAACUUUA